RNAcentral lists this ribosomal RNA (406 nucleotides) under uncultured bacterium. RNAcentral describes it as "partial 16S ribosomal RNA". It matches the Rfam family "Bacterial small subunit ribosomal RNA", at positions 29 to 526 of the family's 1533-position model. The record is from RNAcentral.
AUUGAACGCUGGCGGCAGGCCUAACACAUGCAAGUCGAGCGAGCGGCGGACGGGUGAGUACUGUGUGGGAAACUGCCCGAUGGAGGGGGAUAACUACUGGAAACGGUAGCUAAUACCGCAUCCCAUCAGAUGUGCCCCGAUGUGAGUAGCUAGUAGGUGGGGUAACGGCCCACCUAGGCGACGAUCCCUAGCUGGUCUGGGAGGAUGACCAGCCACACUGGAACUGAGACACGGUCCAGACUCCUACGGGAGGCAGCAGUGGGGAAUAUUGGACAAUGGGCGCAAGCCUGAUGCAGCCAUGCCGCGUGUGUGAAGAAGGCCUUCGGGUUGUAAAGCACUUUCAGCGGGGAGGCGUUACCCGCAGAAGAAGCACCGGCUAACUCCGUGCCAGCAGCCGCGGUAAUAC